RNAcentral lists this ribosomal RNA (253 nucleotides) under uncultured bacterium. Its description in RNAcentral is "partial 16S ribosomal RNA". It matches the Rfam family "Bacterial small subunit ribosomal RNA", at positions 99 to 353 of the family's 1533-position model. The record is from RNAcentral.
CGGACGGGUGAGUAAUGUCUGGGAAACUGCCUGAUGGAGGGGGAUAACUACUGGAAACGGUAGCUAAUACCGCAUAACGUCGCAAGACCAAAGAGGGGGACCUUCGGGCCUCUUGCCAUCAGAUGUGCCCAGAUGGGAUUAGCUAGUAGGUGGGGUAACGGCUCACCUAGGCGACGAUCCCUAGCUGGUCUGUGAGGAUGACCAGCCACACUGGAACUGAGACACGGUCCAGACUCCUACGGGAGGCAGCAUG